RNAcentral lists this unclassified non-coding RNA (400 nucleotides) under uncultured Rubrobacterales bacterium. Its description in RNAcentral is "contains 16S-23S intergenic spacer region". It matches the Rfam family "Bacterial small subunit ribosomal RNA", at positions 728 to 1155 of the family's 1533-position model. The record is from RNAcentral. Lineage: Bacteria; Bacillati; Actinomycetota; Rubrobacteria; Rubrobacterales.
UCCAGCUUAUCGCUGGCGGUCUCCUGCGAGUUGCGCCUUGCGGCAUGCCGUAAACGAUGAACACUAGGUGUGGGGGGAGUCGAAUCCCCCUGUGCCGAAGCCAACGCGUUAAGUGUUCCGCCUGGGGAGUACGGCCGCAAGGCUAAAACUCAAAAGAAUUGACGGGGGCCCGCACAAGCAGCGGAGCAUGUUCUUUAAUUCGAUGCAACGCGAAGAACCUUACCUGGACUUGACAUGGUGCUGCAAGCGCACGGAAACGUGUGACCUUCGAGGGUGCACCACAGAUGCUGCAUGGCUGUCGUCAGCUCGUGUCGUGAGAUGUUGGGUUAAGUCCCGCAACGAGCGCAACCCCCGUGGCGUGUUGCCAGCAUUAAGUUGGGGACUCACGCCAGACUGCCGG